This 400-nucleotide ribosomal RNA is filed under the name uncultured Desulfovibrio sp. RNAcentral's name for it is "bacterial SSU rRNA". It matches the Rfam family "Bacterial small subunit ribosomal RNA", at positions 347 to 738 of the family's 1533-position model. Lineage: Bacteria; Pseudomonadati; Thermodesulfobacteriota; Desulfovibrionia; Desulfovibrionales; Desulfovibrionaceae. The record is from RNAcentral.
GGCAGCAGUGGGGAAUAUUGCGCAAUGGGCGAAAGCCUGACGCAGCGACGCCUCGUGAGGGAUGAAGGUCUUCGGAUCGUAAACCUCUGUCGAGAGGGAAGAAACCCUUGGGUUCGAACAGGACUCUUGGCUGACGGUACCUCAGAAGGAAGCACCGGCUAACUCCGUGCCAGCAGCCGCGGUAAUACGGAGGGUGCAAGCGUUAAUCGGAAUCACUGGGCGUAAAGCGCACGUAGGCGGUUUCAUCAGUCAGACGUGAAAUCCCACGGCUUAACCGUGGAACUGCGUUUGAUACUGUGAGACUUGAGUGUCGGAGAGGGUGGCGGAAUUCCCGGUGUAGGAGUGAAAUCCGUAGAUAUCCGGAGGAACACCAGUGGCGAAGGCGGCCACCUGGACAGAC